Cygnus olor (mute swan) is the source of this 5914-nucleotide long non-coding RNA. RefSeq lists it as uncharacterized. The transcript is spliced from 3 exons. Lineage: Eukaryota; Metazoa; Chordata; Aves; Anseriformes; Anatidae. The record is from RefSeq and is a predicted model, not a curated record.
ACACGUGACGUGGCCUGGGGAGCAUGGAUGUCCUCCAGCCCCACGGCACGGACGGAGAGGGAUCGGACGUGGUGCCGGGCUGGGGGCUCCCAGUAAUUCCUCUCUUUUACUCCUUAAAACAACCAGAAAAAUGGCUCACAUGUUUUGCUUUAUUGAACACGAUGUCACUGGGAAAAGCCACGAUGUGAACAAGUUUCCGGAGAGCAAACCUCAGACCCUGCAUGUGGGUGCUCCAGGCUGGGAAAGCUAUUUCCUCCUGAUCUGCAGCUGUUUGACACGUAGCUGCUCCUUGCUGAGUAACGCAGCUGAUGAGAAACCUCGGCCAUAAAUGUUACACACGUUUGCACUUUCCCUGCGCCAGCUCAAGGUAGAUUUCUCAGUCUCCUCUGUAGCAGCAGCCCUGGGCUGUUUUCCAUCCCUCCCCUUUGUGACAGUCACAGAGGUAAGGGCUGUCCUCCUUUGCUCAGAGCUGUGGAGCCAGGGGAACCGUUCCUUCAAACCAUCGGGCUCUCACAGCCUGUUUCCACCGCGUUCCCCCCCCCAGGUUUUGGGACUUCCUGCCCUUUUCACGUGGUGUUGUGUUCAUUAAGUGCACCACGUACCAGAUGUCUUCCCACCCCCUAUAGUGUCAUAUUCCCGGAGGUGCCAAGCCAUGCAGUUGGGGUACAGCGUUGUAAUUAAAGAAGGGCUGAUCUCAUGAUUAAAAUACUGCCUUAAGUGUUUUAGGGUGAAAUAGUGCUCUGUUCGAGUUUGUAGCAGAAGGAAUUUCCCUGAGUUCAGCUGUCGGGUCAGCCAGCAGCUUCCUGUGCAAACCCACUGGAGAACACGUGAAGUCCAAGUUCGUUGCCUCCCCACCCACAGGGCUGGCAACUUGUGAGAAAGCUCACUAAGAGCGAGGAUUACAGUGGGAUUACAGUGAUGGUGUGGGCUUGGAGGAGCCCCAGGGACAUAAUGGCACUGAAAGAAACACGGGGACUUCCGCCGCACGUCAGGUUUGGGACAGAACUCCCCUCCUGGCUGUAUUUGCUGAAAAGCUUCAUCUAAGCACUAGCUGGAAACUGAAAAAACACGGUGGAUUAGCUUGGUUUUGACUUGAAAUCGGAGCCAUGAACUUGUAGGUGGGCCACCAGCCUUGGGGUGUCCCUAGAAACGUGUGACUUUAGGCAGGACCCUAUUGUGCACCCAGCAGCUUCAGCUGGAUGCUCCUCAGACAGCUGAUGAUACCUGACGUGGUCAGAACUUUAGCGACCCCCUUUCUUUUUAUGACUCCAUUAAGUGUUAGAAAAGAAAGUUUCCAAGGCUCUUUUCAUCAAAACUAUAUGUUUAUUUAUAAAAGAGAAUGGAAAAAAAUAGACCAAAGUGCUUUCUUCUAUAAAAGACAAUACCGUGGAGGUCGAAUGCUUUAGACCUGAGUAUACAUGGCAUCACAGCCCAGAGCUGGAGAUGGCUGAUCCAGAUCUGAUGCUGAAUAUCACGGAAAUUUGGAAUUAGAAGGUCAGCAAAGGAUUUUUCCGCUGAUGACUAAGGGACUUAACCACGCAUCUCCUACUGAUUUCAGAGAUGUAUGGCCAAAUCCCUUCACUGGCUUUAAAAGUUCAAGCCCAGUUAAAUCCAGAGAAGAAAAAUAUAUAAUUUUUUGACUCCAGGCCUUAAAUUGCCUCACCAAUUGGGCCCAUCUCUGUGCAAAAGACAAACGGCCAGACCCUCAGCCAGCAAAAAGCAGCGUACUUCACCAGUUCCAUUUAUCCACUCCAAUGUGGGUCAGACUGAAGAAAUCCAUUCUAGUAUUCCCUUGGUUUUGGGUGUACAAUAGCAGAAGUUCACAGCUAUACCAAAAUUUUGAGUUUAAGUAAUUGAAUUUGGAGCUCCAUGAUGCUGCAUGAGCUACUUUAGGUUCUGAGUCGGUGGGGAGCUGCUGUGGUGCAACUCAGGGGUGGCACUAAGGUACCUGUGGAAAUGGCAGAGGUGAGACAACACGGUCACCCAGGCAGCAGGAUGUCUUCUCAGUGCUGAAGAGGAUUUUGAAGUGAAUGGCAAAAUUAACCAGUAAGGAAAAAAGCACAAUUUCCUCACACUGGGAAAAAAAUCUUUGCCUGGAGCAUCUUCAACACCAAGCACCUAUGACUUCUCUGAACAAGUAUUAUUUUCCCUCAGCCUACACACUCUUUGGCCUUAAUGGUUUCUAUAUCUUGACAGUGGUGCAAAGUUUUCUGCCUCAGUUUCCCCCAAAUCUUGAAACAGAGACAGUUCUGAGACUUCCUAGCUAUGAAACUCCAGCAAAUUCUGUUUUACUUGAAGAGUCACAUUUUUUCAUAAAGCUCAGUAACCUGCAGUGCUCUGACAUCAGCAUCCCAUUCUGCAUUAAAAAUAAUCCAUGUAUCUCUCUUCGACUGUAGGGCUGAAACUGAAAACAGAAACCUGGAAAGCAUUGCUACAAGCUGUCACUUGACAUUCAUUUUUAAUUUGACUUGCUGCGAAAAUCUGGAAGUAAAUUUUAUGAUUUCUUUAAGUUCUGGCUCAUGAUUUUUAAGUGCUUCCGAUCAAUAAUGCUGAAACCCUUUCCUUGUUUUCGAGUCAACUCGUCCGCUGCAAGCAGUUGUGGCAUAUGAGAACUGAAACUGCUAGGAGUGAGCACCUUCUCUACCCCUCUUGAUUAAUCUGCUGUGAUUGUGCAUCGUCAUCCUCAGCAGGUAAAUGAAAAUCCAUGGUGUUUUUAACAGGCAUCUAAGAGGGCUAAUGUUUUACUGACUCUGCCCUCCAGUGCACUCUGAUGUUGUUUUUUUUUUUUGUGACAAUUUUGGAUCAAGGUGUUCUCUGAGUUUUCUUUAUCAGAAACCUCAUAUCAAAGUCUAUGCGGUGAGCACUUUGACUUUCACUCUCCUUCCUGUCCAGUUGAACGCUAGCUCAGCUAUGCCAAAACAAGUCAUUCAAAUUCUCCUUUGGAUGCAUCUUUUAUUCCUUCUGGCAGACUGAAAGGAGCCUCCUUCAAAUGUGAAACACUGCUAAAGCUACAAAAACAAUCUCUACCACAAAAAAGCCCUCUUGGAUUCCUUCCUGUGAGCGUGUUUUGGCCUGGUUUCUGCUGUUUGUUUUACAUUUUGUCUAUUUCAUUUUUUUUAUGUAGAACCGAUUAAUAUCUUUAUUUGCUUUUAAUGUUGUGUGCUGGUUUGAUGCAUGUUCAAUUCUGCUUCCUCCCCACCACCUAAUAUUUUUUUCAGGCACAUCUCAAUACAUAGAGAAGAGCUGUUAUGGGAUGAGGUCAAAUUCAGCUGCAGCACUGCUCAUAGCUUAUCUCACACAGUAGACAAGAAGGAAAAUAAUCGAGAUGGGAAAUGUGGUCUGCACGAGUGCGCUCCUCUUUCAACAGCCUGGCAGCCAGCAGGAAGGACUCUGCCUGAGACCAGAAUCAAGCUUACGUAGCAUCUAACGUAUGGCUGAUAAUGAUGACUGCUCACUGAAAAGAAAGUAUGAAACAGCCCCUGCUAAGGGUCCUAAACCAUGCCACGUGCUCAGCACAAUUCCACUAUGGAAUAUCAGUGGAAAACUCUUUUCCUUUGCAUCUCUGCAAUGAAGGUACCUGUGAAUGCUGUUAGAGAUGAUGAUAUUCCAGAAAGGUUGCCAGGAGCUCCAGCACUUAAUGGCACUUUUGGGAGGGAAUCUGUGAGUAAGAGGAAACGCAUAUGCCAAGUGCUUGCAGAGUAAUAAAAUGCACAAGGUUUGCAUUAAGAAGAAAAAAAGAGCAUUCAUGCUUAGUCCUCUGUAAUACAGCAAUAGCAGCAAAGCAAGUUUUUGGACUUUAAAUAGAUGCUGAAGAAUAACUCUCAUUUUGAGCAUUAACAGAUGAUAUAAAAGCCAGCAGCUCACACCAGUGGGUCGCUGCCUUACAACUGUAUAUAAAUGUGCAUAUGAAUAGCUGUAGACUGCAAGCUUAGAAAGAGUCGUUAAAAGUGAGACAGCAGGCUGUGCAUACGAUCUUGUUCUCUAAAAACAUUUUUUGCAAAAUCAAGAGCAAAUCCACUUGCCCUUUAAAGUGUUUUUCAAGUUUCUGAUGUGUCUUUGUGUUAAAGUUGUUGGUUUUAUUGUUGUUGUUUGGUUUGGUUUGGUUUCGGGGGGAGGAGUUCUUUUUUUGUUCAUACCAUUGGCUGGCUGGGUUGCUGCCAAACAGAGUUUCCCAGCCAGGGCAAGCUACCUGCUUUGAGGUAGGGUUCCAUAGCAGCCUAAACUAAUGAAGGUUCAGCAUCACUGUGCUGGUCCCUAACUGAAACCUGGCAGCGGCACUUGCUUCCUUUUGGGGGGAGCACUGGUACUGCUGGAAGGGAGAGGACAGGACACAGCGGGAAUGGGGAAGAUGAGGCUGCAGCAACACUAACUUACAAUGACUUAAUAAAAUGCCACGGGGUUACAGUCUUUGUAGAAAUGGUGUCUGCAUGAAGUCCUGCUUUCUUUGAAGCUAAGGGCAAGAUGGAAACGGAUUGACACCCUGAAAACCUUCUCCCCUUCUCUGACCCCUUCCAUUUCCUUUCUACACAGUGUAUGUAACCUUGGGGAUCCAAAACCUGCAGACAAAUGCCAGGUUCCUCAGGUUAUGCUCAGGUUGUUUGAAGCAUGCGGACCCAGACUGGAUAGAAGCUGGUCAUCUAAAUCCUGCUGAUGUGAGUCUUCAGUGGGCUGAUGCUCUCAGCAUGCAUUUCGGAGAAGGUAAGGGAGCAACACCAGCCCCAUGAGCUCAGAUCUGAGCCCACACCUGAAUCCAAGUUUGCUUUUCUCUUUACUAAAUCACAGCUUUGACUCCAGCGAAUGAUUAAGAGGUGAGUUAGACAAGGCAGGUCUUGUCUAUCUGAAAGCUGGUGCUGUCUUGACUGCCAGUGGCCUGAUACUUGUGUGUAUGCACAGGCUUUGCAUGUGCUGGCAGAGCCACUUUCUACACCUGACAUAACUUCCACUGGUUGUUCCCAUGGCUGGGAAGACCAAAGAGGGAGAGAAUUAACAGAAACGUAUAAAAAAAAAAAAAAAAAACAUAUCAGGAAAGCAUAAGGAAUAUGUCAAAGGUAGUCAGGCUGUUUGCUGUGCUUCAUGGGAACCAUGUCACACUAGAAACUUUUUGCUCUGUGCUUUCUUAUAGGCAAAGGUAAAACUCUGCUCUGUUGCAGUCUGCAUCAACACACCAGGAGAGAGCAGGCUUAUCUCGCUGGAACUGAAGGCAUAAGUCGGCCCUGGGUUUUGGGUGCCUUCUCUGGUAAGCAAUAUUUUCCCCUCAAAAGCAGGGCAGGUAAAUCCAGGCCCAGGAGCUGAUGCCCAAUUGUCACACAGUGACAACGCGUCAGGGAAACACUCGGUGCAAAUCCUGACCCUUGGGACACAUGAGGAGCAAGCAAUCCCCUCUGGUGAACUCAGCAGGCUGAGGGCAGGUUUUUAAGAAGUGAGUGAAGGCACUGGCAGCCAGCUGGUCAGAGGGGCUUGCUCAGCUCUGUGGGCUGGGCUCAGGGUGGUAUUUGAUGCUGCAACACACUGUAGAAGAGCAGUUCCAAUCUGCAGCCCAUAGGGAACUUGCUGACUGAAGGACUGUGUAUUUUUCUUCCAACGCUGUGUUUUCCUUUUCACAGAUGCAGGCUUCUUCAGAUUGGUGGGAAGAGCUGAAUGCGAUCUAGUCAAUAUAUUAUUGUUCACCACAGUCCAGAAGGAACUGGGAAUCGUUUUCUGAAUUUAAGCUUAUCCAUAUUGCUUGUUCAGUGCCAGAAAUGUGUUCUACAGCAGUGAUAUUGUGUCCUGUGGAAGAUUACAACUGUCCCAGGUAAAGGCGAAUCUUCAGGUGGCGAGAUGUGGGAAGGAGCUGUGCUGGGGACAGAUGCACGUGCCACCGAUGUUCCUUGUUUGAAGAGCAAAGAAGGAAAAUGAUUAAAAAAAAAGACUUUUC